GACGAACGCUGGCGGCGUGCUUAACACAUGCAAGUCGAACGGAAAGGCCCAGCUUGCUGGGUGCUCGAGUGGCGAACGGGUGAGUAACACGUGGGUGAUCUGCCUCUAACUUCGGGAUAAGCUUGGGAAACUGGGUCUAAUACCGGAUAGGACAAUCGUUUAGUGUCGGUUGUGGAAAGUUUUUUCGGUUAGGGAUGAGCCCGCGGGCUAUCAGCUUGUUGGUGGGGUAAUGGCUUACCAAGGCGUCGACGGGUAGCCGGCCUGAGAGGGUGGACGGCCACAUUGGGACUGAGAUACGGCCCAGACUCCUACGGGAGGCAGCAGUGGGGAAUAUUGCACAAUGGGCGCAAGCCUGAUGCAGCGACGCCGCGUGGGGGAUGACGGCCUUCGGGUUGUAAACCUCUUUCGCCAGGGACGAAGCUUUGGUGACGGUACCUGUAUAAGAAGCACCGGCUAACUACGUG
This 464-nucleotide ribosomal RNA is filed under the name uncultured bacterium. RNAcentral's name for it is "partial 16S ribosomal RNA". It matches the Rfam family "Bacterial small subunit ribosomal RNA", at positions 28 to 507 of the family's 1533-position model. The record is from RNAcentral.